UGAGUGCACCAAUAGGCCAGGGAAACACUUUUCAUUGAAAAUAGCUGUAAUAUCAGUGAUCCACCACACAAUUAAGACAGAGAUGGAAGCCCACCUACAAGUCGUGAGAAAGGACCAAACGUUGUUGUUGGUUGCUGAGGCUCUGGACGCCAUCUUUGAUGUGAACCAUCUGGACCUGUUGUCAUGGAGAUCAGGAUAUAUCAACUAAAGAGAAACCUAGGAGACUACCUUCUUAUCAGCAUGACAGCAAGGAAAAAUCUGAUGUACUUCAUCAAAUGCAAAUCUUGACCAGUAGAACUAAUAAGGACAUGUUUUUAUUCUCAAAGUUACUUACAACUCAACAGUAAUUUGGAUCACAGAAAUAAUUAGUGAACCACUUCAAGUUCCAUAGUUUUCUGGUGUUCAGUUUGAUAUCAGGCAACACUGAUAUUUAGUAUUAAUAUUUUUUAUUAUUUUUUCCACAACUUUUAUGAUAGUCCCAUUAGAAGAUUUGUGUGUUAUCACAAGGUACUGAUGUAAAACUUGUCUUUUUGUUCUUAGCCUUUUCUGUCAAAAUUAAAUAUCAAAAUGUGUGGGACUGUAUUGUCUGUUUAAACUUUGACCCACUAACUGAGACAAUCAAGUGAUUAAAUUUCUUUUCUGAUUGCUCAUAAGCAAUAUGAUUUUUUUUUUGAAGAAGAAGAAAUUAUGGUUUUUGUGAGGCUUAAGUAGUUGAAUUAUUGUCUACUCCACAUUGAAUUGGUUUGAUUUUAUUAAACUUUGUAUAACACUCUAGUAUUCUAUAAAUUAUACUGUUUUAAAUGGAUGGCAAUGUUCAUAAAAUAAAUUUCCUUUGUUUAAUGUGAAGCUGAAGAUAUUACAUUGUUGUUGGAAAUAUUGAUUAUUGGUUUAAUUUAACUAGAAUGUGUGCAUUGCAUGGUAGUAUAAUAUUCCCUUAUAGUUUU
Lingula anatina is the source of this 944-nucleotide long non-coding RNA. Lineage: Eukaryota; Metazoa; Brachiopoda; Lingulata; Lingulida; Lingulidae. The record is from RefSeq and is a predicted model, not a curated record.